This 618-nucleotide small RNA is filed under the name Trichoderma atroviride. RNAcentral's name for it is "eukaryotic LSU rRNA". The stretch from base 218 to 371 matches the Rfam family "5.8S ribosomal RNA". Lineage: Eukaryota; Fungi; Ascomycota; Sordariomycetes; Hypocreales; Hypocreaceae. The record is from RNAcentral.
CUUCCGUAGGGUGACCUGCGGAGGGAUCAUUACCGAGUUUACAACUCCCAAACCCAAUGUGAACCAUACCAAACUGUUGCCUCGGCGGGGUCACGCCCCGGGUGCGUCGCAGCCCCGGAACCAGGCGCCCGCCGGAGGGACCAACCAAACUCUUUUCUGUAGUCCCCUCGCGGACGUUAUUUCUUACAGCUCUGAGCAAAAAUUCAAAAUGAAUCAAAACUUUCAACAACGGAUCUCUUGGUUCUGGCAUCGAUGAAGAACGCAGCGAAAUGCGAUAAGUAAUGUGAAUUGCAGAAUUCAGUGAAUCAUCGAAUCUUUGAACGCACAUUGCGCCCGCCAGUAUUCUGGCGGGCAUGCCUGUCCGAGCGUCAUUUCAACCCUCGAACCCCUCCGGGGGGUCGGCGUUGGGGACCUCGGGAGCCCCUAAGACGGGAUCCCGGCCCCGAAAUACAGUGGCGGUCUCGCCGCAGCCUCUCCUGCGCAGUAGUUUGCACAACUCGCACCGGGAGCGCGGCGCGUCCACGUCCGUAAAACACCCAACUUCUGAAAUGUUGACCUCGGAUCAGGUAGGAAUACCCGCUGAACUUAAGCAUAUCAAUAAGCCGGAGGAAAAAGCUU